AAGACUAUAGACCUGCGGAGUACCUGCGGAAGGAUCAUUAUUGAAUUGUAUUUCUAGACGGGUUGUUGCUGGCUCCUUGGAGUAUGUGCACGCCUGUUUGGAUUUCAUUUUCAUCCACCUGUGCACCUUUUGUAGCCUUAGGUUGGAAAAUUGAUGAAGUGGUCAGCCUAUUCAGCACUUGCUGGAUGUGAGGACUUUUGCUGUGCGAAAGCAUUGCUAUCCUUGACUAGGGAGGCUGCG
Molecule: unclassified non-coding RNA, 240 nt
Filed under: soil metagenome
Description: partial contains 5.8S ribosomal RNA, internal transcribed spacer 2, and large subunit ribosomal RNA
Source: RNAcentral